UCCCCGCUAGCUCAGUUGGUAGAGCGCUGCACUGGAAAUGGAGAGCUCGCUGGUUCCAGUGUGUCGAA
This 68-nucleotide transfer RNA is filed under the name Ixodes scapularis (black-legged tick). It matches the Rfam family "tRNA". Rfam says of the family: Transfer RNA (tRNA) molecules are approximately 80 nucleotides in length. Lineage: Eukaryota; Metazoa; Arthropoda; Arachnida; Ixodida; Ixodidae. The record is from Rfam by way of RNAcentral.